RNAcentral lists this ribosomal RNA (233 nucleotides) under uncultured bacterium. Its description in RNAcentral is "partial 16S ribosomal RNA". It matches the Rfam family "Bacterial small subunit ribosomal RNA", at positions 116 to 334 of the family's 1533-position model. The record is from RNAcentral.
CGUAGGUAAUCUGCCUUCGGGUGGGGAAUAACCCAGGGAAACUUGGGCUAACACCGCAUAAUGCAGCGGCACCACAUGGUGACAGUUGUUAAAGCGGGGGAUUUUAGGACCUCGCGCCUGAAGAGGAGCCUGCGGCGGAUCAGCUAGUUGGUGAGGUAACGGCCCACCAAGGUAACGAUCCGUAGCCGGCCUGAGAGGGCGGUCGGCCACACUGACACUGACAUACGGGUCAG